Molecule: ribosomal RNA, 253 nt
Filed under: uncultured bacterium
Lineage: Bacteria
Description: partial 16S ribosomal RNA
Rfam family: Bacterial small subunit ribosomal RNA
Source: RNAcentral
UACGAGGGGGGCAAGCGUUGUUCGGAAUUAUUGGGCGUAAAGGGUGCGUAGGCGGUCUGAUAAGUCAUCUGUGAAAUCUAUGGGCUCAACCCAUAGUCUGCAGGCGAAACUGUCGGGCUUGAGUAUGGGAGAGGUGAGUGGAAUUUCCGGUGUAGCGGUGAAAUGCGUAGAUAUCGGAAGGAACACCUGUGGCGAAGGCGGGUCUCUGGGCCGGAACUGACGCUGAGGAGCGAAAGCGUGGGGAGCGAACAGG